Molecule: ribosomal RNA, 253 nt
Filed under: uncultured bacterium
Lineage: Bacteria
Description: partial 16S ribosomal RNA
Rfam family: Bacterial small subunit ribosomal RNA
Source: RNAcentral
UACGGAGGGAGCUAGCGUUGUUCGGAAUUACUGGGCGUAAAGGGUGCGUAGGCGGCUUUUUAAGUUUGGUGUGAAAUCUCCCGGCUCAACUGGGAGGGUGCGCCGAAUACUGAGAAGCUAGAGUGUGGGAGAGGAAAGUGGAAUUCCUGGUGUAGCGGUGAAAUGCGUAGAUAUCAGGAGGAACACCGGUGGUGUAAACGGCUUUCUGGACCAUAACUGACGCUGAGGCACGAAAGCGUGGGUAGCAAACAGG